UACGUAGGGUGCUAGCGUUGUUCGGAAUCAUUGGGCGUAAAGCGCGUGUAGGCGGUUAGUUAAGUCGGGUGUGAAAUCCCUGGGCUCAACCGAGGAAGUGCAUCCGAAACUAAUUAGCUAGAGAAUGGUAGAGGGAGGUGGAAUUCCGUGUGUAGAGGUGAAAUUCGUAGAUAUACGGAGGAAUACCGGUGGCGAAGGCGGCCUCCUGGACCAUUUCUGACGCUGAGACGCGAAAGCGUGGGGAGCGAACAGG
This 253-nucleotide ribosomal RNA is filed under the name uncultured bacterium. Its description in RNAcentral is "partial 16S ribosomal RNA". It matches the Rfam family "Bacterial small subunit ribosomal RNA", at positions 524 to 776 of the family's 1533-position model. The record is from RNAcentral.